RNAcentral lists this ribosomal RNA (499 nucleotides) under uncultured Actinomycetes bacterium. RNAcentral describes it as "bacterial SSU rRNA". It matches the Rfam family "Bacterial small subunit ribosomal RNA", at positions 355 to 867 of the family's 1533-position model. Lineage: Bacteria; Bacillati; Actinomycetota; Actinomycetes. The record is from RNAcentral.
UGGGGAAUCUUGCACAAUGGGCGAAAGCCUGAUGCAGCAACGCCGCGUGCGGGAAGAAGGCCUUAGGGUUGUAAACCGCUUUCAGCAGGGAAGAAAAUGACGGUACCUGUAGAAGAAGGUGCGGCCAACUACGUGCCAGCAGCCGCGGUGACACGUAGGCACCAAGCGUUGUCCGGAUUUAUUGGGCGUAAAGAGCUCGUAGGCGGUUCGGUAAGUCGGGUGUGAAAACUCUGGGCUCAACCCAGAGCCGCCACUCGAUACUGCUGUGACUCGAGUGCGGUAGGGGAGCGGGGAAUUCCUGGUGUAGCGGUGAAAUGCGCAGAUAUCAGGAGGAACACCAGUGGCGAAGGCGCCGCUCUGGGCCGUGACUGACGCUGAGGAGCGAAAGCGUGGGUAGCAAACAGGAUUAGAUACCCUGGUAGUCCACGCCGUAAACGUUGGGCACUAGGUGUGGGUCUCAACCAACGAGAAUCCGCGCCGUCGCUAACGCAUUAAGUCG